Molecule: ribosomal RNA, 301 nt
Filed under: uncultured bacterium
Lineage: Bacteria
Description: partial 16S ribosomal RNA
Rfam family: Bacterial small subunit ribosomal RNA
Source: RNAcentral
CAGUAGCCGCGGGAAUACAGAGGGUGCGAGCGUUAAUCGGAUUUACUGGGCGUAAAGCGUGCGUAGGCGGCUUAUUAAGUCGGAUGUGAAAUCCCUGAGCUUAACUUAGGAAUUGCAUUCGAUACUGGGAAGCUAGAGUAUGGGAGAGGAUGGUAGAAUUCCAGGUGUAGCGGUGAAAUGCGUAGAGAUCUGGAGGAAUACCGAUGGCGAAGGCAGCCAUCUGGCCUAAUACUGACGCUGAGGUACGAAAGCAUGGGGAGCAAACAGGAUUAGAUACCCCAGUAGUCCCUGUCUCUUAUAC